AUCUGACUCUUCGUAGUGCCACAGUAAUUAGGAAAUAUGUUUGAACUCUCCCAGGGACUGCAAGCAUAGGAGCAAUUGACUCCACAGUGACACAGCAACUGGUGUCUGCUAACAAGGAGAAAGCUCUGCCUGGACAAAGAUGUCAGUGAGCUUCGGGACAUGCUCCGGCAGGGGCCAAUGCGAUGGUGUUUUUCG
Ochotona princeps (American pika) is the source of this 195-nucleotide long non-coding RNA. RefSeq lists it as uncharacterized. Lineage: Eukaryota; Metazoa; Chordata; Mammalia; Lagomorpha; Ochotonidae. The transcript has 3 exons. The record is from RefSeq and is a predicted model, not a curated record.